UACGGAGGAUCCGAGCGUUAUCCGGAUUUAUUGGGUUUAAAGGGAGCGCAGGCCGUUUGCUAAGCGUGCCGUGAAAUGUACCGGCUCAACCGGUGAGUUGAGGCGCGAACUGGCGGACUUGAGUGCAUACGAGGAUGGCGGAAUUCGUGGUGUAGCGGUGAAAUGCUUAGAUAUCACGAAGAACUCCGAUUGCGAAGGCAGCUGUCCAGUCCGUAACUGACGCUAAUGCUCGAAGGUGCGGGUAUCGAAC
Molecule: ribosomal RNA, 250 nt
Filed under: uncultured prokaryote
Description: partial 16S ribosomal RNA
Rfam family: Bacterial small subunit ribosomal RNA
Source: RNAcentral